This 147-nucleotide unclassified non-coding RNA is filed under the name uncultured Chaetosphaeria. Its description in RNAcentral is "sequence contains ITS2". The record is from RNAcentral. Lineage: Eukaryota; Fungi; Ascomycota; Sordariomycetes; Chaetosphaeriales; Chaetosphaeriaceae.
CAACCCUCAGGCUAGCCCUGGUGUUGGGGACCUGCACACUGCAGCCCCCGAAAGGCAGCGGCGGACCCGUCCGGCUCCGAGCGUAGUACCAUACGUCGCUCAGGGCGCCCGGGCGGGCUUCCGGCCGGAAAACCCCCUAUUUCUCAA